AAAGUGUGUCAUGCGGUCGGUCGGCUGGCUACGGUUCUCCGCAGUUGUGCGUCUUUUUUCACUCAUAUAAUGGGCCGCGGAAGCACGACCAGGAAGACGGCUACUGAACUCUACCUGUGGCGCACAGCAGCCUAUCCUGUUUUUACAAAGACCCGAAUUGCUCUGCAGUGCUGACCGUAAAUUAACAAGCUGUG
Molecule: long non-coding RNA, 194 nt
Organism: Anguilla rostrata (American eel)
Lineage: Eukaryota; Metazoa; Chordata; Actinopteri; Anguilliformes; Anguillidae
Exons: 2
Source: RefSeq, a predicted model, not a curated record